CAGUUUGCAGGCUGCUGAUGGCGAGAGUGAACUCUGUCCCAGAUCCACUGCCACUGAACCUUGGUGGGAACCCAGAUUGCAAAACAUCUGCAGCACUAAUC
Molecule: long non-coding RNA, 101 nt
Organism: Dipodomys spectabilis (banner-tailed kangaroo rat)
Lineage: Eukaryota; Metazoa; Chordata; Mammalia; Rodentia; Heteromyidae
Exons: 3
Source: RefSeq, a predicted model, not a curated record